GUAACAAUUACGUGUGUUACCGUUAAUGUAUGGUUAAAAUCAAACCCUGCUUCACAAGGUUUGCUGUACGAACAUUGGAACAGCCUCAGUGAUUCUGUGAACAUUAAGCUAGCCUACAAUCAGAUUUAGCUAGUUAUUGAUACUCAGUUAGCUAUUGAUCUUUAACGCUUGCACUAUAACUUAUAUUUAUUUUCUUUUAAUUCACAUGUGGACUAACUUAAUGGUUAAAACGUGUUGUGUUGGGAAAAUUAAAGGUUUGAAAUGUGAUAUUGGAUGGUUUGCUAACAUUGGUUGCUAAUAGGGUAACUGAUAAUUAGCUGGUGUGGAAUAAAUCAGGCGGCACUUUACUGAUGUGAAGUUUGAAAGCUAUUUUCUGAACAUAAAAGAAAGAAAGUCUGACAGGAUUUAUGCAAGGAUACUGAAACACCACGGAUGGAUUGACGUAGAGCUAGUACUGGUAGUGGGGCAAAAGUGGAUGCUGCUAGUAACAGGUAUCGGAGGGGGCAAGACAAGGGCCAGCUAGCAUAGAGGCGAUUUUAAACUUCAGCGCUUCAAAGGUAAGCAGUUCUGCGUCAAAUCAUGUAAAUCAGACCACCCGCCACCCUCGUACAUGAUAAAGAAUAGCACCAGUAAAAGCAAGCAGUAUCCCACUGUUUUGUGUUGGCUCGAUGAAAGGUGAUACAAACGAAUUUCCGAAUCACAUUAUGUCGGCUUGGUUGUAGUUGUUGUGGCCAGUCAAUAGACAAGCUUUGAACCGUAGUUCCAUGUAAGUGUCGUGGUUUUCACCGUUUCAGUAUGUAGUUGAAUAUGGUAGAUCUGGGCAACUGGUCAACGCUGUCGUGUUUUGUCUCGGUAGACCUCGUAUGACGGUGUGUUGGGAAAAUACCGGCAGUGGUUUCAGAUGGAGGGUGCGACGUGCCAGAUGUACGCUGUUCGAGGGAUAAAACUGCCACGCACGAGAUUUUGUAGGCAAUGGUAAUUGGUGACGAUACCAUGACAUUUGAAAAGAAGAUUCAAAGUUUGAGUUUUAGGUGGCAGAGUAGAACAGCUGCGUGUGAAGUGUGGCGACUACCAAGGUAUCAACACCAGUUAUGGCUACGGGAUUUUAAAAGUACCUUCAAUGCACUGGGAACUAACGUGCUCUCCCCCUCUCUCUCUCUUCUCUCUUAAUCAGGGCCCAGGUCUUGUGGCCACAUCUGUCCAAGCUCCUACUCUGAUUGAACAGUUGGAUGAUCAGACUGAUGAUGAAAAGUGCUACACAGUUCUCACACAUCUUCUGACUCCGAAGCCGCUGCAGUGUAAAAUCUGAGAUGUCUUUUCUGGUUGAUUUUGUGCAGAUUUCUGACAGCGACAGCGAUGGUGAGGGAAGCAGUGUACCGAACUCUCAGAUGACUCGGACCAGGUGACCAAACCCAUGCAAAGCACAAUGACUGUGCUGAGGCGUUCCGCCCCCCUCCCUCUCCACACCACUCAAGGCACGGCGGCGGCCCAACCGCAAACUAACGUGAGUACACAACACACACACUUGUGUGCAUGCCACGCACUGACACUUUCUCUACAGUGACUUGUCAACUUUCCUUACAUUGUGUGUGUAUGUGCGUGCGUGUGACAGGGAGAUUAACAUGAGGCUGGACGCUUGGCUCGCUGCUGCGUCCAUCACCAGAGGGGCCGGGAUUGCUGCGGCAGCUGGCCAAUUAAAGGAGGAGGAUGAAGGAGAGGAGUCUGACGAUGCAGACAUCGCCAUCGUAUGCAGUCCACGCCCUCGCAGGAAAACCAGCCAAUGAAAAUGCUGGCAGCAGCAUCAGCAGAACACACCGGCACGACUGACAGAGCUUCUGAAGCAUGCAGUGGAAGACCUGUCAGUCAAGCUAAAGGUCCCGCCCUCCAACCUGCUGCUGCUGCACGGAGAGGCAGAACUUAACACCUCACACACUAUUGGCCAGCUAGGACUCUGCAUCGCUGACAUCUUUGUCUGGAACCAACUUCACAUCCCUCUUCACUGCACUACUGACACUGAGAUGGAAUCCACAACCCAACCACUAGUGGUCUGCAUUGGGAACCUGAAGAGUCUGUCAUCACCGCCAGGAAUGACCGCGUGAUCAUUCCCGUUGCAGACGGCCUGACUUGCACAAUUGACAAGCUGUUCAAGCUUUACUGGGUCUGCAACUUGUUAUAUCCAGCACAGCUCAGCUCUGUUUUCACCUUCUUUGAAUAUGUUUAUGACGUUCCCAUCUCAACCAACAAACGAACAAAGGCACUACAACUUCUCUCAAAGCUUCCCAGCAGCCCAGUGAUCACUCAACAUGUGUUUAUGCCCAAAAUGUAAAUAGUUACUACAGACAUCAAGAAAGUAGUUUGGCAUCUUUGUCAUGUACACGCUUUGUCAGAUGCACAGGAUAUGAUGAUAAUUUGCAGCCAAGAUGGCUGUUCAAGUGUACAAGGACUUACUAUGUAGACACCACCUACGUAGACACCACCAGUCCACAACAACAGAAAUGGGAGUAUCUUUCAAUGACUCUUUUGAAUCCACUGACAUUCAGACAGCCUAUGCAGCUUCAAGUAACACCUGAAGAAAGAGCAUUUUGUGUCCCUUCUCAAGGACCGAUUCUCCAUAAUUUACCACUUAAUGACAAUUUAUCUGUGUUCAUGCUUGUUAGGAUUAUUACAGGGAAUUAUUUUGAUUAUCAUUUUGGCAACACUUUAUUUUAUCAUUACAUCUAUCAGCUCUAAUACAUACAGUGUUAAUGCCUGUAUGCAUACAGUGUUAAUGCCUGUAUGCUGUAUAAGUAACUUGUAAGGCAUGCACUAAGCAAAAUCAAACAUACGUUAGGCAUGUAUUCGCAAAUGCCUUGUUCAUGCACAAUUUGGGAUUUAUUACCUAAUAUAACCUCAGUAAGGACCUAACAAAUGUUUGAUUUCGCUUAGUACAUGCCUUACAAGUUACUUAUACAGGCAUUAUCCCAUUGAUACUGGAUGUUGCGUUGUGCAACAUUGGCCCUGGCGCCUGUACAUACCUGCCGACCAUUACGCAUUUUGUGUAGCAGAUACGGAUUUUGACAUCAAACUACGGCGCUGUCACUUCAAAAUACGGGAAAAACCAAUAGCAAAGUGUGGCCCUUAUGGGCCCUUAUAAAUUGCUCUGUAGACUUGCAACCAGACAGAGCCGUAGACUUGGCUCUGCUUGCAAUUGUCUCGCGCUGGCCUUUCCAUUGGCCAGCAACGUGUGGGGGGGAAUAUUGACCAAUCAGAGCGCUAGUUUGGAUUUCUUCAUUUGUUGUGCUGCACUCCUCUCGAGUCGAGGCAUCAGCUGCCGAUAGAAAGUUUGCUUCGAAAUCACACAAGCAGAGAGACUGGUUAAUGUACUCCUAUAAUCUCUGAAACAAGUGUCCUCCUGUCAUCAUGUAUUAUCCAUCUUGGUACUGUCGCUGUAGUUUUACAAGUGAGCACCGUCAAAAUCACCGUUUCAAAGGUAAAUGGACUUUGAGAAAGGUAGCCUGUAUGGGAGCGUCCAGUUGCUAAAUCCGUAAACUUAUGAAAAUAAAUAAAGGCCGAGGUCUGUCGUAAUGAUUCACCCAAUGUUUCGCCGUAUUUGACGGAAAUAUGUUGUUGCUUGUUUUGAUAUUGGACCGAAACGAGAUUACUUCCGAAUGAGAAAAUGUGUCGAUGACCGCGCUAUAAAUUAGCAGAUUAGCAGCAAACUAAAUUCGGUUUCCCUUUGCGCCGGAUCAUUUUAACUCGGGGAAAUAAAGCGAUAGUUCUAACGGUUGUGCUCGGAGUAGGUCUACAUCCGUAACCUACCAUGACAGCGUAUAGGAAUACUUGUCGCCUUCACGGGCUCGGGACCUCUCGAGACAGCUGACGACACUGCUCACGUGACAGCCAAGUUCUGGACUGUGGCACAUGAACGCCACUGAUCCCGGAACAAUCGGAAAUCAUGCGUGUUUUGUUUUGGUUCUCUUUUCUUUUUUUUCACCUCCACUUGAGCCUCCACACCCACGACAUAUCAUUUUAGCUGAAGUAAGCCAAAUUUAACAGUCAGAGACCAGCAUUGCUGUCAUAUAUGCAUCUGCAAUUGAAUGACAUCAACUGGUGUUGUUGAUAGUGAUUACAAGACGAUAUUUUAGCUUUUAUGAUACUGUUUACAUGUCAGUUGCAUGCAUGGGCGCCAUGUUGAUGAUGCGUGUGUCGUCACACAAAACACAAGCUCGGGAACUCGUUGUUCUAUACUUCCGCCAGAGAUCAACCUCGAUAAUUAUCGAUCUGACAUUGCGUCACCAAAUGUUCACUCCCACUUUCCCGAGGUUUUAGGUCGGCUUUCUGGGGAUUCUCGACUUUUUGAACGAGGUAACUGUUCCCCCCUGAGUCAUGGCCCAUUCUGUGAACAGGUGUAACAGGUUGUGCGUCAUACCAAAUAUGCAUCACUCCACGACUACUAUCCGUAAUCUCGUAUGGCAAUCUAUUAAUAAAAUCAAUUCUCCUAUCAUAUGUGCCGAACAGUGAACAAUAGCCAACUCAUGACGGCAGAUGAGGAUAGAUAGGCCUACUAUUAUGCAGAGAAGUGAAAAAAAAGCGAUGCCCCUCAAAAGUUACCGUGGAAGUUCCAAGAGCAUUGGCCAUUAGCCCUCGUCCCUCAGUAGAGCCACUACAUGACGCAUUUUGUACUGAAUGAAUGCUGAAAGUGUGAUUUUGAUGUUAGCCCCCAAGGUAAUAAUAUUAACCUGAUAUCUUAGAUAACACUUGUCUUUAUCUUUUUUUCUUCGGCUGAUGCUUCUUCACAGUAGGUGACAACAUCAUUAAUAUUGGGGGAGAUGAUGUAAGAAUCAUUACAAUUCAACUUUUUGUUCAUAAAAAUCACUGAAAUGCCUCAGUAUUUUAUAAUCAAAUUAUACAUUUUCCUACAUGUACCUUCUACAGCCAAAAAAAUAAUCAGCAAAUGCUUAAAUUUCAUACUCAAUUCCAGCUCCUUAACCCCCCCAAGUGACCAAAUGCUCUGUUUGGCUGGUACAUAGGAUAACUUAAUAGCCACUUAGGCCUACUAGACUGGUGGUAUGUUUGACUAGUAAGAUUAACAGCCAUAUUGGCUGGUGAUCAAUAAAGUUAAUUUAGAGGCCUGAAUUCCAGCACACUAUAUCAUAGCAUUUUAUUGGUGUUAUGGUGUGAAACAAAACAAAAAACAUCUUUCAUGAAAGUUUAAUAAAUUAUGGUAGCACUGUGAAGAGCAAGAUAAACUAUUUGCCAGAUACACGGGAUGUUAGGCUAAAAUGCAUUCAAAUGCAGGAAAUUGCAUCUAAGAAAAGCAUUUUUUUCUGGGGGAGGACCCCCCUGUCUGAAUGAAGUGUCUCAUAUCUUCCCUGUUGACAUUUGGCAGCCCUAGGUGUAGGGCAGACAAUGCAAAACAAAGUAGCCUCUCAGAUGGGCCCGCCGGCGACCCCGUUGCUUUGCCAUGCCAAGUUGUUGCGCCGUGAAUUGCCGCGCCGCGAUAAGUUGCUACUCAAAAAAUUUUUCAAAGGUUGGCAGGUAUGCCUGUAUGUAUUUGUAUGGCAUCAGCACCCGUUUCUGCAAGUGCUUUAGGCAUGAAUGGGUUAACAUUGUAUGUAUUAGUGCUAAGCGAUGUAAUGUUAAAAUAAAGUGUUACCAUCAUAUGUUUUAAAAAUAUAUAUGUUGUAAAACUGGACGAUUGUGAAAUGAUGAUGUGGCAGAUGUAAGACCCAUUGAUGUAAUGCCGUUUUCAUUCAGAUGAACUGUCUCUUAACCCAAGGUACAAUGUCUUUUCUUCCAAUAUGUUGGAACCUAUUUCAUAAGAAUGUUAUUUUCAAGAAUAUUUAACACUACUUCGAAUUUCAAGACUUUCGGGUUUUGUAAUACACCGGUAAUGUUGUUAAGACAUGAUAGUGUACGAGUCAUAAUCAUCAAUACUUCAUGAAAUUCGCAGUGGUGUUAAUUAUUCUUGAAAAAGAUCACAUUGGUUAUCUCCCCCUCUUCUGAAAAGCCUAACAAAAAAGAAUAUGACAGUAAAGUUAAUGUAAUACAAUUUUUUUUUUAAAAUUGAAUGUAAACAAAACACAACGUUGCAGAGGUAUGUAGUCAAGACUUUUGAAGAUUGAACCUUGUAAACAAAAGUGUUUGCUAAAUAAAAGUAAACUCCCCCUGUCACUUUCCAUGUGAUAAUUGUCUGUAUAUUUUGAAAACUAGAAGUUUCAAGGUUUUUAAUGCUGUCACUUUUAUGUUUGAAUGACAACUCACAGAGUUAAUUUGAAGUCAAAAAGACGUCCACAAAGAUGACGUCAAUAAAACCACCUACAAAAUGACGUCAAAAACAUGUCCUCAAAGACCCUAUUUGGACUAGAGAUGACUCUAAUAUGGACGUAGUACAGACGUCAAAAAUGGACGUCCAUUAGACGUCCGAAAAAGACGUCGUCUGGAGUAACAGUCUGCACCUUCAGAUGACCUAAAUUAUACGUCCAAAAAUGACCUAAAAAAGACGUCCUUUAAACGUCAUUUUGUUUACUGGG
Engraulis encrasicolus (European anchovy) is the source of this 6512-nucleotide long non-coding RNA. RefSeq lists it as uncharacterized. The record is from RefSeq and is a predicted model, not a curated record. The transcript has 6 exons. Lineage: Eukaryota; Metazoa; Chordata; Actinopteri; Clupeiformes; Engraulidae.